GGGAAAAGCUGUAGACGUUGUUUGAGUGUGCAUGUGUGUGGAGGCUAUCUGUGUGUGGGUGCCGAUACGAAGAUGUUUUAAAAAGUGCUGAAAGUAAAACCAAUGACUCUGAAUAAUGUGCUGCUGGUUACCUUCCGAUGGCGAUAACACAUGUAAAAUGUUUCAUCAAAGGUUCCAGCGCUGCUAAUUACCCGGCUGCCUGGAGACCGUCAAUGCCCGGUUCUUCAUUUGAAUUCUGCUUCAGUUCAAUUUAAAAGGCAUUUCUAAUUCAGUUCUGAAUGGCGCACAACCCUGAUGUCGAAGCAUGUCUCAUCCACUUUUUACACAAUAAAAUAUAAAUCUCUCUGCCAAAGCAACACCAGCCCCCUCUUACUCAUUCCUCCAGUGGUUGUAGGCAUAGACUCGGGGUGUUUUGAACACACUGAUGACAAUUACGAGCUGUAAGAGUGUCGCUCGUUCCUCACUGGUGCUGUAGGAUUUUGGACAGAGACACAGUAGGGGAAUUCACCAGAUGGUUCAGGCAGAACCAAUCCAUUCCUUUCUGGGCCGAUGCAAUUCACGAAGCCACCGUUUAUGGCAAGUGUACACCGACCUCAGGGUCUGUGCUGGUAUUGAUAGUUGUGAUUAUAGACAGUUUGAGUAGGCGGUCAUGAAGAGUGACCCACCUGCAUGUGUCAGUUCUCAACUGACAGUUUCUGAUAACCUUUUGGCUCUUACACCAAAAGGCUCAGGGGCUUUGAGUGAUGGUUUGUUUGUCACGAGUUAAGCUCCUCCACAGUUCCAUUUGAUAAGCUGGCAGGUGACUCAUGUGAACACUAUGGAUUUACAUGCUCAGAGGUCUUUCAAUUUGGAGCGGCAGCACUUUGAUCUGCACAGUACAUCUGCGACAUUACUUUGCUACAGCUCUGCCUGCUAGCCUCAUUGACACAGGAGAGAUCUGGCAUCUAUAACAUCAAUUUAUCUCCAAACAUAAUGUCCCAUCAUGUUCAGUUGAAGCCAUUUCUCUGGUGCAAAGUGACUGAUCAUGAAAGACCUUUGAGUACAAACAAUUUGACUGGACUGGAUCCCUAAAUGUGAACAAACAGUGCAGUUGUUGAGAUUAGGAGCAACAAGAGUGAAAUUUGCAAUUUGAUGGUUUUCACUAUCUUGUGUACUGCCAGCACCUGCCUUUGCACUCCAUGCAGAGCAAGAGCCAAGCAUAACAGAUGCAAACAUGGAAGAAUUAUUAGUAACCUUGUUGUAAUGGGUCACAAUAGAGUGGCAACCUCCCGCUCUCUCUCGUGAAGCCAACACGGCCUGGUUCAAAAAAUGAUUUUGGUCUAUAUAGCUAAUUUUGCCCUUCAUGACAACUGUGAGGGGGGUGAAUUUGUUUUAUACCUCAUCCGUUUAAAUUAUAUUAAGCCUUAAAGUUCUGCAUAAUUAAGGACAUGGCCACUUGAGUGACAGGUGGAUUGCCGCUGCUGACACUGCCGUCGAGCUAGGUGGGUGUGGCUUCAGCGACCAACUCCCGCCUUUUUGCCCAUUUUCGAUUAUCUGGGAGUGACGCGCUGCCAAGAUGGCGACGGCCCGUUCCGCCCACUAUGUGCUUCAAAUGCGCUCUUCAGAAAUCUGCGGGUGAUGUCACGGACACGUCCAUGUUUUUAUACAGUCUAUGGUCACAAUGCAUGAUGCUAAAUGUCCCCAGACCAAUUCUAGCUGCCAAACUGUGCUUGUGCUUUGAAAAUGCUGUUGUCCCCGAGGCUCAGAGUCUUCUGCAAGCCUGCAGCGCCCUCUUGUGGUAGAAUUUAAAACACUUUAACCCACAUGUUCUGGCUGUGCUAUCUAUGCUGAAUAAAAGUAUUAAAUUCUUUAAAAUUUUGAAUGGUAGUGUAUACUAUGGUAUUUACAUGGUAAUCUAGGGUGCAUCAAAGAAUACCAAGGUAGUACUAUGCUAAAUGUCCAAACAAACAUUGCAUUAUGGUACUGUGUCCAAAUACAUGGUACAUAAUGCAUUUAACUGUAUAAUGUUUCGUUUUGUUUUCAUUAACAAACCCUGAAGAUAAUAUUGCACUUUGCUUUCAUGCCGUAUUGUAUACUUAUGAGACAUUUACUUUAUAAUAAAGCAAAAACGUAUCCUGUGUAUUCAGUUUCCAUCUCUGUGUUAUUUGCAGUGAAUGCACAGCUCUCUUACGUUGC
Molecule: long non-coding RNA, 2175 nt
Organism: Cyprinus carpio carpio
Lineage: Eukaryota; Metazoa; Chordata; Actinopteri; Cypriniformes; Cyprinidae
Source: Ensembl